AAUUUACAGAGGAAAGUAACAGCAGACCCUGGAGACCUCAAUGUAACGGCAACCUUCCCAGAACCAUGGGUCGGUUUGAUGCCAACAAUAAUGUAAACCGGAGCCUGGAAAGGAGCCAGCCCUUGCAGACAGUGAACCACCCACAUAACAUCCCUGCACAUAUGUCCCUAAGAAAUGGUGAGGGGAA
Platichthys flesus (European flounder) is the source of this 187-nucleotide long non-coding RNA. RefSeq lists it as uncharacterized. NCBI's taxonomy places the organism in Eukaryota, Metazoa, Chordata, Actinopteri, Pleuronectiformes, Pleuronectidae. The transcript is spliced from 3 exons. The record is from RefSeq and is a predicted model, not a curated record.